RNAcentral lists this ribosomal RNA (776 nucleotides) under Chitinophaga sp. VPMK51. RNAcentral's name for it is "bacterial SSU rRNA". It matches the Rfam family "Bacterial small subunit ribosomal RNA", at positions 92 to 869 of the family's 1533-position model. Lineage: Bacteria; Pseudomonadati; Bacteroidota; Chitinophagia; Chitinophagales; Chitinophagaceae. The record is from RNAcentral.
CGACCGGCAAACGGGUGCGGAACACGUACGCAACCUUCCUUCAAGCGAGGGAUAGCCCAGAGAAAUUUGGAUUAAUACCUCAUAGGAAUGUAGUCUCGCAUGAGACAGCAUUUAAAGAUUUAUCACUUGAAGAUGGGCGUGCGUCUGAUUAGGUAGUUGGUGAGGUAACGGCUCACCAAGCCGACGAUCAGUAACUGGCGUGAGAGCGCGACCAGUCACACGGGCACUGAGACACGGGCCCGACUCCUACGGGAGGCAGCAGUAAGGAAUAUUGGUCAAUGGACGCAAGUCUGAACCAGCCAUGCCGCGUGGAGGAUGAAGGCCCUCUGGGUUGUAAACUUCUUUUAUUUGGGACGAAACACUUUCUUUCUAGAGAGCUUGACGGUACCAGAUGAAUAAGCACCGGCUAACUCCGUGCCAGCAGCCGCGGUAAUACGGAGGGUGCAAGCGUUAUCCGGAUUCACUGGGUUUAAAGGGUGCGUAGGCGGAUAUGUAAGUCCGUGGUGAAAUCUCCGAGCUUAACUCGGAAACUGCCAUGGAUACUAUAUAUCUUGAAUGUUGUGGAGGUUAGCGGAAUAGUUCAUGUAGCGGUGAAAUGCUUAGAUAUGACCUAGAACACCGAUUGCGAAGGCAGCUGGCUACACAACGAUUGACGCUGAGGCACGAAAGCGUGGGGAUCAAACAGGAUUAGAUACCCUGGUAGUCCACGCCCUAAACGAUGAUUACUCGACAUUUGCGAUAUACAGUAAGUGUCUGAGCGAAAGCAUUAAGUAAUC